UUGACUAUGAGCAUCAACCGGAGGUAUAAUGCGAAGGCCUUCACUGGCAUUGAUAGUAUGUGGCCGCUCAAUAGCAGACCUUGAAGGGCCUAUGACAGAUAUAUCAGAGGGGGGAUUCCCAGCAACAAUCCUUUCAUCCUUGGGAGACAGUGGCUGACAAUUUAUCGACAAACGUGUUGUUCAAUAAAUAAAAAAUCACUGGAAAAUGAAAUAACUUCAUGCUUGAGGAAAAACAAGUGAAUGUAAAGAUUUAAAGCACUAACUAGAUAGAUACCUGACCACCCAAGCUAUCCCCUUCGGGUGUCUCUCCUGCAUCCAGCAACGAGAAGAGAAAUAAUAAGCACUGAACCAUGAGACAACUAUUCACGAUAUGUAGACAGCAGAAGCAAGACAUUCAGCUCAGAGAACCCCGUAAUUUAGGCAGUAGAGAAAGGCACAGUUGGGAAAGGACAGAAUUCCCUAAAACCCUUUCUCCUACUCGAAAGAGGGGAGAUAGCAAUAUGGGGAAAACAGCUUCGGAAUACAAAGAAAAAAGCAUCAAAGACUGCAAACAGACAUACGUCCUAAGGAAUGAAGUUACACCUGGAGAGCAAGCACAGCAGAUACAUAAAACACAGAACGGAAUUCACAGUCACAGUCACAGCGAAGUUCUAAAAGUGGAGGAAACGAAAUCGACACAGAACCGAAGCAACUGCGAAGCGAGGAAGCAAAGAAAUGGGUGGGGGGGAGAGAGAUAAGGUGAGUGUAGGCUGAGAAACGAGGAAGAUACCAGUUGGCACAAUUCGAUCUUGGUCCUCCUGGGAAGCGGAAUCCAUGAAUCCAAAUCUUAGAUCUGAAG
Molecule: long non-coding RNA, 838 nt
Filed under: Linum usitatissimum (flax)
Lineage: Eukaryota; Viridiplantae; Streptophyta; Magnoliopsida; Malpighiales; Linaceae
Description: long non-coding RNA (LUSI_LNC002101)
Source: RNAcentral